GGACUACCGGGGUAUCUAAUCCUGUUUGCUCCCCACGCUUUCGCGCCUCAGCGUCAGUAAUGGACCAGGUCGCCGCCUUCGCCACCGGUGUUCUUCCCAAUAUCUACGAAUUUCACCUCUACACUGGGAAUUCCACGACCCUCUUCCACACUCCAGUCUCCCUGUAUUAAGCGCAGCCCCCAGGUUGAGCCCAGGAAUUUCACGCCUAACUAGAAAAACCGCCUACGCGCCCUUUACGCCCAGUCAUUCCGAGCAACGCUAGCCCCCUUCGUAUUACCGCGGCUGCUGGCAC
Molecule: ribosomal RNA, 292 nt
Filed under: uncultured bacterium
Lineage: Bacteria
Description: partial 16S ribosomal RNA
Source: RNAcentral